Molecule: RNA transcript, 1734 nt
Organism: Spinacia oleracea (spinach)
Lineage: Eukaryota; Viridiplantae; Streptophyta; Magnoliopsida; Caryophyllales; Amaranthaceae
Exons: 3
Source: RefSeq, a predicted model, not a curated record
GAGUGUUACUGAAUAGAAGCGUUACUGAAGGGAGAGAAAACUGAGGAGCGUACAUUCAACCCUAGCUUCCUCCCAUUUUCUCUCUCCUUCGAUCUUCUUCAUCUUCCUCAAAUCAUCUCCUUCCUCAAUCCUCUCCUCGAUCUUCUUCAUCUUCUGCAACAUGGGUUUUAGGAUUUCUAGGAAAAAAAUUUCAUUGGAGGAGAGAGAUUCAAAUAAGAAACUUUCGUGAUAAAUAAUCAAAUUUAGAGGUUUAGGGAAGGGGAUUCGAUUAUAGAUAAGAAAAAAUUGAAGGUCGAUAAUGGAGGAGAGAGAAAACGAUGGUGGGUGAUGGCUCCUUGGAGGCGGCGGCGAUGGCGGCUCACCUUCAAUUUCAUCCUUUCAGGUUUAAUCUCAAGAUACCGAGGUGAGGUGUUUUUUUUUUUUUAAUAAAAAUCGAAGCUUUCUACAAUCUACAAGAUAUCCAGAGCACGAAUUUGGUAUUCUGCAAUUUCUGAUUUUGGAAUUCAUCUUUUCUGGUAAUUUCAUCAUUACUCCCUCAAUUAAUUUUUUGUUUUCCCUUACUUUUUUGUGUGUGUUAAUUUCCUAAUUUUUUAGUUUGAUGUUUAAUUGUGCAUUUGGGGUUCAUGGAAAAUUGUGAUUAAUUUUCACCAUUAGCUCAUUUUUAGAACACAGGUAAUGUUUGAACUUGGUAUUUGGUUGUUCUAAAAUUACUGUGGUGAUCCGCUGCAUUCAACCAUGAAUGUGGAGUCAUUUCGCUGCCAUCUUUGACUUCUUCCAUUGAUUUCAAACUAGGCAAUGUUUAAUAUACUACGUGUAAUUUAAAAUCCGAACUCUAAAUCAUACUAUUAUGAACAAAUCAAUUGGAAGUAGAUAAAAUUAUGCAUAGAAGAAACUGAAUUUUCAGCAUAUGAAUUUUAUUUUAUAACUAUUUUGCUUUAAGAUAUUUUAAUUGUCAAGUACUCAAGUCAACCAAAUGGAUGGUCCUGAUCUAGGUAUCAUUUCAAUCUCUUUUGUUUACUGAAGCUAAAAAGUGACGCAGAUUUUGAUUAAGCUAACUUCUAGGUAUCAUUUCAAUAUCUUAAAGAAAUGUAUUAAUUUAGUUGGUUAAUUCUUUUUUGUGAGUUUAGAAAGGUAUUUAUUUAUUUGGUUAAUUCUUGGAUAUUAAUGGUCUGCUAAUUUCACACGAGUAUUUUUUUUUAUCGUGGUUAUUAUGAUUGUGAUCAUGAUAUUCUGUAUUUGCUUCUUUGGAUGAAAUUCUAAUACAAUUGAUCAAUUGAAAAUUUGAAAUGAAAUAUUUCAGAUUUUAAGCAAAAGGUGAGAACUUUUUCCCCUAAUUAACUACUCUGUUUGUUCGAUUCUUAUCAUUUGUUACCAUGAUUAUAAACUGGGUAAUUCAUUAUGAAAUCUCGAAUUCCUGAUGUGAAUUUUUGUGCGUUUGAUUUUGUUUUGUUUAUGGUAGCUGAAAAGUGGCGCAAAUUUUGAUUAACCCAACUUCUAGGUGUGUUGGGAGUCUGUUGGAUUGCUGCUGGUUUUUUUGCUGAGUGCAGGUUGGUAGCGAUCUGUUUUACUGUUUUCAGAUUGGGCACAACUUCUUCUUUUGGUUGUUUCAGGACUACGGUUAUGCUGUUUGUUUUGGUGUAUGCAGGGGGUUUGUUUAAUAUGGUUUAAAUUGGUAAAUUUAGCCACCUUAUGCCUUUACAGUCCAGUAGUUACAUUGCCAUUGUUGAUGGUGCU